UACAGAGGGGGCAAGCGUUGUUCGGAAUUACUGGGCGUAAAGGGCGCGUAGGCGGCCCGCUAAGUCGAACGUGAAAUCCCCGAGCUCAACUCGGGAACUGCGUCCGAUACUGGCGGGCUUGAAUCCGGGAGAGGGAUGCGGAAUUCCAGGUGUAACGGUGAAAUGCGUAGAUAUCUGGAGGAACACCGGUGGCGAAGGCGGCAUCCUGGACCGGCAUUGACGCUGAGGCGCGAAAGCUAGGGGAGCAAACGGG
This 253-nucleotide ribosomal RNA is filed under the name uncultured bacterium. Its description in RNAcentral is "partial 16S ribosomal RNA". It matches the Rfam family "Bacterial small subunit ribosomal RNA", at positions 524 to 776 of the family's 1533-position model. The record is from RNAcentral.